UGGCAUAGCCUGGAUAUUCUUCUGGAGGAGCUACUCUACGGCUCUGUGAGUUACGCGCUCGUAAUAAAAGUCUAGCAGAUCAGACAACCCGGUGUACUGGAAAUUGGAGUUCUCAGGUACUACGAAGUAUAGCAACCAUCAGUGUGUACUUGUGAUUUGAGCGAACCAAAGGAUUCAAUCUGCCUGGGAGUAGUGAGCCGUCUGAAUCUGUUGAGAAUCCGCCAAAGGUGGUAUUCGUUGGGAUUUGGGUAAUCAACGAAGGUAAAAUCGGUAUGAAGAUCAAAUUACAAAAUCUGUCAUCCGAAGAAUCUGCCAAAAGUGACAUCAGUAGAGAAAAAUACUUGAUAUCUGUCCGUAUACAGAAUCCGCCAAGAGGCGCCAAUGUAUAUUCAUAUCAUUAUAUUCAGCAGUUUUACGAAGAUUAUAGUAUCAAAAUAUUUACAAACACAUAGAGCUCGCAAUUUAAGAGAAGCUCACAAAACAUAUAAUCACAUAGAGCUCGCAAAACACUAUUCAUAUUUAGCUCGCAUAUCAUUGUUCAUAUAAUCACAUAUUUAAUCACAAUAAUAAAAUAGAUUUUUAGAGAAAACUUACUCUCAGAACUUAGGGUAAAGCCCUAAACUCCUGAUUAACACUACGGUCCGCACAUACUAACAGC
This 658-nucleotide long non-coding RNA is filed under the name Gossypium barbadense (sea-island cotton). Its description in RNAcentral is "long non-coding RNA (GBAR_LNC002803)". The record is from RNAcentral. Lineage: Eukaryota; Viridiplantae; Streptophyta; Magnoliopsida; Malvales; Malvaceae.